AACCUCAACCCCUGUUGAUAAAGUUGUUUACGGGUGGUUUUUGAGAUUUUAAAAUAAAUACACUUUCCCUCUUGUACAAAUACAAGAGACUCAAGAGCUUCAUCCUCAGGUCGAUUCACAAAACUGUGUCCUCAUGUUGUGUUUUUUGUGAUCUAUGUGUGACUUGGCUGCUGUGACACUGCGAUUUCCCCAAUGGGAUUAAUAAGUACUCCAUCUAUCCAUCCAUGAAAUCUCAAAUCUCCAUGUCAUGUUGCAGGUGUUAGAGAUGUCUAUCACUGCUGUUAAAGACAAGGAAGUGACUGUGCUCACCAUGGCGGCUGACAGUGGGAGCAUGUCCCCACCGCUGUUUCAAAUCCUCAAGACUCUUUGCUUCAGUCCGAUGUAUUUCUCGUUGCUGAAGCAGACCAAUGUAACAACUCUUGGGACUGUACAGAUCCUGGUUGGUCUGUUCAACAUCGGACUUGGGCCAAAACAAGCAUUCACGAUUACCCCUUCUCUGGAGCUGGUGCUGUGUUCAUCAUAUCUGGAAUCAUGUGCCUUCUUGUCUGCUGGUUCCCCACUUAUUGCUUGGUGGGCUUUUCUGUGUUUAUGAACAUCGUUGGAUCUGCCUUCGCCCUUAUUGGCAUUGUGCAGAAUACCACAAACGUGGCAUCCCAAAGCCACAUUUGGCGUGACGAGUUCAGUCCUGAUUAUUUAAAUAAAAACUUCCAAAAUGAAAUUUACAAAUUCCAGCGUUUCUUGACCAUUGACAUUACUCUGAUCAUCCUGGCUGUUCUGCAGCUGGCUGCCUGCUUCAGCUUUGUUAUUCUGGGCACCACGGCCGUGUUCACCAGGAAUAAGGAAGAGGAUGGCAAAGAUGUUGAAGCUCAGCAGCCACAGUUUAAGGAACUUUUCCUGACCAAUCCUGGUGCUUACAAUCAAUUCAACUAAACUCAUGGAAGCAUGACUAUGAAUUAUUGUAACCCCCCCCCACCCUCUAUCUGUUAAUGGGUUGAUUGUUUUUCUAUCUGCCGGUGAAUAUUUUUUCUUGCUUCACUAAAAACAUGUAAAGUAAAGAAAACAUAGUUCAUGGUCACACAUGAUUGAAGCAUGCUGUCUGUACAGGGAGAGAUUAAUGUGAAAUCUCUCAUUUCUGGCAAAAGGUUAUGGAGUAACCAGGAAAAUGUGAUUUGUGAUUAACAUUUGAAAAUCAAUUAAAGUUAUUGGUUUAUUUUA
This 1215-nucleotide long non-coding RNA is filed under the name Cottoperca gobio. RNAcentral's name for it is "lncRNA (ENSCGOG00000005161.1)". The record is from RNAcentral. Lineage: Eukaryota; Metazoa; Chordata; Actinopteri; Perciformes; Bovichtidae.